This 208-nucleotide ribosomal RNA is filed under the name Salmonella enterica. Its description in RNAcentral is "partial 16S ribosomal RNA". It matches the Rfam family "Bacterial small subunit ribosomal RNA", at positions 1 to 215 of the family's 1533-position model. RNAcentral also lists the same sequence under 3 other names. Lineage: Bacteria; Pseudomonadati; Pseudomonadota; Gammaproteobacteria; Enterobacterales; Enterobacteriaceae. The record is from RNAcentral.
AAAUUGAAGAGUUUGAUCAUGGCUCAGAUUGAACGCUGGCGGCAGGCCUAACACAUGCAAGUCGAACGGUAACAGGAAGCAGCUUGCUGCUUUGCUGACGAGUGGCGGACGGGUGAGUAAUGUCUGGGAAACUGCCUGAUGGAGGGGGAUAACUACUGGAAACGGUGGCUAAUACCGCAUAAUGUCGCAAGACCAAAGAGGGGGACCU